UGUGUUCUUGUUACGGUUAAUUAUUGUACUACAUCGUUCAAGUCUCUACCAGUCUAUUCAGGCAAAACUGCGAAUGGCUCGGUUACGCUUCGUUGACACUCGGUUAACUGCGGCAAUAGUAGGACCCUAAUACUUGGUUAACUGCUGUAUUUUUACCGCUAAUGCAUGUGUCAGAGCUCCGAUCUUCGGGAAUGAGCAUAUUUAUUAAACCAAAACCAAUCGGAUCUUGUGCCCAUACUAUGUGUUGUCCCUGUACAUCUUUGGAAUGAUCGCAGGAACUCGUCCCGGAGACUAUUGUUCAAGCGUCUAUCUUAUUAACUGCCGCUAUCAGGCUGAGUGCUGACCAUGAUCGUAACAUGUGACGGUGAAUCAGGAUUGUAUAUUCCUAAGAGGGAGUUCGAGAAUAGGUAACUACAUCCAAAGAAGACAGCAGGAGCGCAAACUAUCCACUUCCAGAAAGGGGAGAAAGUAGGAGGAAACUGCAAUGCGGGAUCUAUUGAAACGCGGUAAAUGGAACGAAUAAACUCUAAAUCCUUUCUCAAAGAUUAAACACA
This 554-nucleotide non-coding RNA is filed under the name Stegodyphus mimosarum. RNAcentral describes it as "eukaryotic small subunit ribosomal RNA". It matches the Rfam family "Eukaryotic small subunit ribosomal RNA", at positions 27 to 552 of the family's 1831-position model. The record is from Rfam by way of RNAcentral. Lineage: Eukaryota; Metazoa; Arthropoda; Arachnida; Araneae; Eresidae.